Molecule: ribosomal RNA, 164 nt
Filed under: uncultured bacterium
Lineage: Bacteria
Description: partial 16S rRNA
Rfam family: Bacterial small subunit ribosomal RNA
Source: RNAcentral
UAGGGAAUCUUCCACAAUGGACGAAAGUCUGAUGGAGCAACGCCGCGUGAGUGAAGAAGGUUUUCGGAUCGUAAAGCUCUGUUGUUGGUGAAGAAGGAUAGAGGCAGUAACUGGUCUUUAUUUGGCGGUAAUCAACCAGAAAGUCACGGCUAACUACGUGCCAC